UGAUGCGCCGUUUCUCUCCUGUCGUGUCCACCUUAUAUAUCUCGCUCUCUUCCUCGUUACCAUUUCUCCCUCUAUCUCUCUCUCAUCAACCCGAGCCCAGCCCUAGUCGGAACAUCGGUAUAUAAUCCCAAAUCCCUAUUUUUGUAUCUUCGAUUGGAGCAAAAAGAUAGCACGAUUGGGAAUCAGAUGGAUGUAAGUGUUCUCAGAGUUCCUGAAGGAAUCAGGGGUCGUUGAAAAUCCUUAUUGCUAUAUUCUCCCCAACCCCAUAUUAAAUUAGAGCAAAAACAAAACUUAAAUCAGGUCGAUGGAAGCAAUCUCAGCGGACAAGGUUCCUGAAGAAAUCACACCCAAAAAAAGAAAAAUUAAAAUUAGAUGUAGGCAAGCAAUGCCGGCGGACAACAGCGUUAAUAUUCCUGAAGAAAUACUUCACAACAUCCUGCUGUUGUUGCCCAUCAAAUAUCUACUCAAAUACACCGCAGUGUGCCAGUCAUGGAGGUCUCUAAUCCAAAGCUCUGCCUUCAUCCAUACACACCUCAGCCGCGCAAUCAUCCAAUCAAACAACCAAAAUGACGACGCUCAUCUCUUGCUGCUACAGUCUUCCAACAGGGAAGAGAGAAAAAGAUCUUACUCGUUGCAUUGGGAUCGAUGCCCUUCAUUCAGUGAGUACUCCAAGCUUACAGAUCCAUUCGUAGCUUACAAUGAAAUUAGUGGACGUCAAGAAGACAAUAAUCAAACAACAAAAAUGGGUAACAGAAACUGCAAGAUCAAUGUGCUAGGGACUUGUAACGGGCUGGUUUGCCUCCAGGAAGGUGACAUUGCGACUUUAAUUUGGAACCCCAGUAUUAGAAAGUUUGUGGUUUUGCCUCCCCCGGGUGUUACCUUCCUGGGGUUUAAAAGCCACGCAUUUGGCUAUGAUCCGCGUACCAAUGACUAUAAGGUUUUCAGAAGUGUUAGUUAUUAUAAGCCUUCCCGCUUGUCCCGUGCAGUUGAGAUUUUUUCCUUAGCCAAGGGCUCCUGGAAGAGGCUUCAUAAUGCUGUUGUUCCUGCAAACUUCUCGCCUGGAAACUUUACUAGUAAUGAUAAACCCGAUGCUCUUGUUAAUGGUGCUUUGCAUUGGAUUCAGACAGAGGGGGACGACAAGUUCAUUGUGUCCUUUGAUUUGUCCACUGAAUUAUUUGGCAAGAUCCUGAUGCCCAAAUCAGCUUUGAGAAGGAGGACUAAGAAGUGGACACGCGAAGCUCCCGUGGUAAAAAAUGUUUGCUAUGCUUCAAGAUACGGGGGCCGCCUUGCCUUUUUUGAGAAACAUCAAAAUAUGCUAUUAACUGGUGAUGUUCAUUUUUACUUGUGGGUGAUGAAAGACUAUGGUGUUGCAGAAUCCUGGUCUAAAUUAUUCACUAUAUCUACUCAACAAAUUGUGCUCAGGCCACUUUGUUUCAGAAAGAGUGGCCAAGUAGUGCUUGCGUAUCUUUCGGAUGACAAGUGUUAUGAAUUGGUAGACCCUCACAACAAACAAUGUGAUGAUUUUCGAAUUGAUGGGUACUGCCCCAGGACAAGCCUCUACUGCUUCGUGGAUUAUUUUGUAGAGAGCAUUGUCUUACUCGAUCGACCCGAUGCUAUUUCAUACUAGAAAGAUGAGGAUUCUUGCUCCGCGAAACAUGGGAGGGGAGGAAAGAAGAGCAACUGCUAAGAGGAACGAAGCAACUGCUAAGAGAAACUGAUAAGAAGAGUAACUGGUCCGUAUACAGAUCAGGACUAGAAGUUCCUUAAUCCUCAUCAUACAACUAAAUCAGGACGUGAAGAUCCUUGAGGAUGAUAUUGAUAUGGGAACUGACAAUCUCUCCGGUACUAUUUGUAAACAAGUGAUCGGAUUUGCGGGUCUUUGAUCCUUGACAUGUAAAUAAGGACCUGGGGUUCCUUGAUGAUGUAACAGUACUGUAUUGGUUAAUGUGCCGUACACAUGAAAAAUAAUUGUACUGGCAA
RNA transcript from Prunus dulcis (almond), 1980 nucleotides. It is a transcript of the gene named F-box/kelch-repeat protein At3g06240-like, with no coding region annotated. NCBI's taxonomy places the organism in Eukaryota, Viridiplantae, Streptophyta, Magnoliopsida, Rosales, Rosaceae. The record is from RefSeq and is a predicted model, not a curated record. The transcript has 4 exons.